This 239-nucleotide ribosomal RNA is filed under the name uncultured bacterium. Its description in RNAcentral is "partial 16S ribosomal RNA". It matches the Rfam family "Bacterial small subunit ribosomal RNA", at positions 96 to 334 of the family's 1533-position model. The record is from RNAcentral.
UGGCAGACGGGUGAGUAACACGUGGUCAACCUUCCCUUUAGUGGGGGAUAACUAGCCGAAAGGUUAGCUAAUACCGCAUACGAUCUGCACCCGACAUCGGGAGUAGAUGAAAGGAGCAAUCCGCUUAAGGACGGGACCGCGCCCAUUAGUUAGUUGGUGGGGUAAUGGCCUACCAAGACUCCGAUGGGUAGCUGGUUUGAGAGAGCGACCAGCCACACUGGGACUGAGAAACGGCCCAG